GCUGGCUGGGGACGCCGCCAUUUUGGGCGCUUCGCGGAUGGUGUCGGGGAACGCGCUUCGCGCCUGAGCGCAGCCAGCGGCGGGGCCGGAGUCACCUAAGGAGUCAGGCUUGCUGGGGGGAGGACCUGGCCUGGAGGAAGCCAGAUCUGCUUUUGGACAACUGUGAUUGUUAGGAAGUUUCCUUCUCCUUACGCUGCUGCUGCCUCCGAGACUCACUAGCAAGCCGUCCUUUUGAAUACACUUAAAGGAGAAAAGGAGGAACUCUUCUGCCAAACUCACCCCACCUCGGUCACCUCGGCCAGUGCAUGCUUGAUCCUGUGCCCCUAAUUCCCUGCUUCUGCAAUGAAGGAAGUUGAACCCUGUGUCCCUGUGUCUUCGCCCCUGCUAAUCUGCUAAUGCAGUAAACUGGAAGAUUGCUGUUCCCAGGAUUACCUGUAAUGGGCAAGGAGCCACAGAGA
Molecule: long non-coding RNA, 458 nt
Organism: Gracilinanus agilis (Agile Gracile Mouse Opossum)
Lineage: Eukaryota; Metazoa; Chordata; Mammalia; Didelphimorphia; Didelphidae
Exons: 4
Source: RefSeq, a predicted model, not a curated record